This is a long non-coding RNA of Equus caballus (horse), 4475 nucleotides long. Lineage: Eukaryota; Metazoa; Chordata; Mammalia; Perissodactyla; Equidae. The record is from Ensembl.
AGUCCCCUUCCACGGCCCUGAGAGAAGGAGGGAGACUGGUGGCCUUUAAAGGAAAAGACUCAGAGAUUUGAACGGUUGCCAGGCGGCCUCCAGGAAGAAGCAGCUGGGAGAAGCAGGACGGCACUGGACGCUUGGCAGAGAAAGACCCUGGGCAAGAGACUGGGGGUAAAGAUUUGGAGAUGAAAUAGCAAAGCGCUGAUCUAACUCAGGGCUGGCCCAAGCUGUUCCCAAGAGGGGCCCCUCAUCUUUACGAGAAUCUCUUGAGUGUCUGACUGUCUCGCUUGAUGCAGACCCAGGCUGGCCAUGGGGAUGGAAAGAGAACACGUAAAAGUGGAAAUGCGAUGCUGAGGAAAAAUCGGAAGAAAUGGAAGGAAUCUGACCUCCCCACCCCCACCCUCGAGCCCGUCAACGCAGUCUCAAUGGGAGCAGUUGCCACCUCUUUUCACUGCCUCUUCGGGUUGUAGUAGUGGCUACAUUUAUCCCAAAACAAUGAAAAGCCAACCACAAAGUUCCCCCAGCUCCCAGCCAUGCUGACACGGAAGGGAGAGGCUGUGGAAGAUGGCACUGGAUGUCCGAUGGCCCAGCCUGGUGGUGAAGGAUGUCACUUCUGCCUAUAUUCCGUUUCCCGCACUCAAUCAUGUGGUCCACGCCAUGCUGCACAGGCAGUUUGAGGAUGUGGUCUUCCCACCUGGCCAAGAUAAGGGAUGGGAAAAACUCUGGUAACAACAAGGGUCCCUGGAGAAGCCAGUCGGGGUAUCAGUGAUGGAGGUUACAAGGAAUACAGACAUCCUCUUACUUCAGAUGAUGACAUUAAGAGAAAGAAAGAAAACAGAGGAAUUGGGAAAUACAUCAGUGACUGGACAGCCACUUACCAGUCAAGACACAGCACCAGCACUAACGACCCAAUGAGAACUCUGGGGACCAGGCAUCUUCUUGUCUCGGAAGUGGACAUCUGUCACUCCCUCCUUGUGAUCCCCACACUGGUGACUUUGUUUCUUUCACACAUGAUUUGUCCACCUGCUGCCUCUGAAAGUUAGUGUCACUAUAUAUAGAAUUCUAGGUUGAAUGCUGGUGUUUUUUCGUUCAGCACUUAAAAUGAUCAUUUCAUUGUCUUCUGUCUUGUAUUAUUUCUGAUGAGAAGUCAGUCAUCAUUCUUGACAUUCCAUUUUUUAAAAAUCUCUUUUCAAUCUCUGACUCAGUUGGAUAAUAUCUAUAACUGCUGUUCAAGUUCAUUAAUGUUUUCUUUCUUUCUUUGUUUUUUUUUGGUGAGGAAGAUUGGCCCUGAGCUAAGUUCUGUUGCCAAUCUUCUUUUUUUCCCCUGCCCACAGCCCCAGUACCUAGUUGUCUGUCCUAGCUGUAGGUCCUUCCAGUUCUUCUAUGUGGGACACUGCCUCAGCAUGGCUUGAUGAGCGAUGGUAGGCAAACCCCAGGCUGCUGAAGUGGAGUGUGUGAACCUAACCACUACACCACUGGGCAGGCCCCACUAAUGUUGGCUUUUGAGGAUUCAAACUGCUGUUAAUAUCAUCUAGUGAACUUUUUAUUUCAGGCAUUGCAUUUUAUCAUGCUAGAAUUUCCAUUUUCUCCUUUUUUAGUGUUCACUUUUCUUGCCUGAGAUACCCCUAUCUCUUACAUUCACCUUUCUCUGUAAAUUCUUAAAAAUGUUUAUAAUAAUUGUUUUAAAAUUCUUCUUCAUUCCAAUAACUGGGGUUAACGGCCGGUCUGCCUCUAUUGACCAUGCUUUCUCUUGACUGUUGGUCAGUGUCUCCUGUUUGUUUGCAUGCCUCAUAAAUUUUUACUGUAUCUCAUAAACGUGUAUACAAAGACAGUGAAGACUGAAGUAUAAUAAUCUUCACAUUUUAUUUCUCAGAGAAUGCAGGCCCUUUCUCUCUGUCUGGCAGGCUGAAGGGCCAAUUAUUCACAUUCCUUCUGGAGUCAGAUUGACCCGGAUCUGGGCUGAAGUUUUAAUUAGAUUGAGAUUAUUUAUGCUUAGACGGACCCCCCAACUCGCACACUACUGCUGUCUUUUUGACAUUACCAAUAUUUGAGCUGAUGGUCUUCCAUUUUAAAUAUUUUUCAUUUACUUUGGAUUCAAGUCAGCAGAACCCUGGAAUCCAAGCUCUGUGGGAAUUCGGGGUUCUUGGUGACUUUGCUCUGCAUUUUAGUCCUUUCUUGUCUGAUUCUUUUCGGUCAAAGUUUGAGGGGAGAAGUUGUUGGGACCAUUUGUUUUUGUAAUUGGGACACUUCCACAUUUCGGAUUCACCUCUCUAGCCUCCACCACCAUCAGAGGCUCAGCUGAUUUCUUCUCCUUCCUGCAAAGUCCCUGCCAUACCUAAACCACAAACUCUUCCCUGGGGGUCGGCUGUCCUGACUCUCCGUUUGCCAGCGGAGGGCUCGUUUCUCAGAAACUCAGUUCAGUAAGCCUCCCUUUGUCCCAGAUCUUUCUUAGCCCCUUCGAAAAGUGUGAUUUUUAUAUGUCUGGGUUUUUGUUGGUGUUACCACGUGAACAAAGAUGUUUCAAGUCCUACCUUCUAACCUGAAGUGGAUGUCAGAAUCAAAGAUUUGAAUUUUUAAAAAUAUAACCAUAGGAUCACUAGAAAAAAAUAUGGGAUAAUUUAUUUUACAAUUUGGAAUGGAGAAAGUCCUUUCAAAGCAGGACGCAAACCUCAGAGCCUCAGAAAUCAUAGGGUGAUUUAAGCUCCCUCUUUCUGUCUCUCUCUCUCAUAUGCGUGAUGCGUGAGAUAUAUAGAUGUAUAUAUUCAUAGAUAUAGAUAUGGAUCUAUAUAUCUCUUCAACUUCAGUAUAGUAAAAUAUACCAAAGACAGAUGACAAACUGAGAAAGAAAUAUUUGCAACACAUAAGACAAAGAUUGCUUCAAAAAAACAUGUUGAGAUUUUUUAAUAAAUAAUUUUAGAAGGGAAAUGGAAAAGGCAGAUAGUUCACAUAAAAAUCAUCAUAAAUAGAUUGUCAACAUGGAAAGAUGCUCCCACUCACUGAAAAUUAAGAACUACGACGGGGGCCGGCUCUGUGGUCCAGUGGUUAAGUUCGUGUGCUCCGCUGCGGCGGCCCAGGGUUCAGACCCUGGGCGCGGACAUGGCACCGCUCAUCAGGCCAUGUUGAGGUUGCGUCCCACAUCCCACAACUAGAAGGACCUGCAACUAAGAUAUACAACUGUGUACCCGGGGGGUUUGGGAAAUAAAGCAGAAAAAAAAAAAAAAAAGAUUGGCAACAGUUGUUAGCCCAGGUGCCAAUCUUUAAAAAAAAAAAAAAAACUACGACGUGGACUGGACACUGUUUUCGCCUGUCACCUUGACACAGCUAGGUGCCAGGGUCUGGGAAGCCAGCAGUCGCACACACUGUGGAGGGGGGUGGAAAUUAGCACAGCGUCCUUAGAUGUGUUUGUUUCACGUUCUCUUAAGAGUGUUUUUUGUCAAUCUCUAACAAAAUUAGAAAAUUAAUAUGACCUUUGACCCAGCAAUUUCAGUUCCUAGGAAUUUAUUCUACAGAUAUGCCUAAAAUGCACAUAAGGAUGUGUGCAAAAGCGUAAUGAUUGCCGCAUUGUUGACAAGAGCAAAAACUGAAAACAACUAAUAUCCGUAAUGCGGGGCUGGUUAAAAAUUUAUGGCAUAUCAUCUCAACGGAAUGCUCCAAAGCUAGAAGGAAAUUCAGAGCCGUGUGUGCCGAGAUAGAAAGAUUACCAAGGUAUAUGGCCAAGUGCAAAAACCAAGACAUAGAAUAAUAUGAUUUAUAUGCCCUCAUUUAUAUAAAAAGAGGAGAUCAAUGGAUGUGUGUACAGGACAAUGUCUGGAAGGUACACAGGGAAUUGUUGAGGAGCGGGAUUAGGAGUCUGGGUUGGAAGGGGGUUUGUUUUUCAUUUUAAACUGCCCUAUUAUUUGAAUUUUUUUAAAAUCAAGGACCGUGUUAUUUUUAUAAAAUAAAGGAAGUCAUCACUAUGCUAUGAAAUAGGGCCUUUAGCAAUGUUUAUUACUUACUGACUUAUAUGGGUGUUGUAUCACAGACGGUGUCAUAUUCCCUUUUGAAUAUUCUCAGAGUCCAUUCUAGAGAGAGCCUUUCACACAGGAGAAACAAGGUGUGAACAAAGGAGCAAAUGAAACUAUGAAUUUAUUGACAGCCCGUGCGAGAUAUGCAAGUUGGCAGAAUCUACUGAUAAUCUCAAACCACCUUCUUCAGUGGUCCAGAUAAUGACCUAUUUUGCUGACCCGAAGUCAGAGCUACUACUCAUAAAGGCUUUGAAAAAACAUCAAUGAACAUUCGCUUUUGGGUGGGGCUAAGCCAUCAUUCUAGAAGAAAAAACGAUCUCUUGUCUUGUGUGAACCGCAACGGUAUUUUGGAAAUCACGGAACACUGGGCUGGGAAGCAAGUCUGAGUUCCGUAAUAAAUACUAACUAGCAUACAACCUGAAGUGAGUUACUGUUCCUGUUCCGGCUUCAUCUGUGACACGGUGACUGAUGGCUAAG